Non-coding RNA from Phrynosoma platyrhinos (Desert horned lizard), 72 nucleotides. The record is from the annotation of a GenBank genome assembly. NCBI's taxonomy places the organism in Eukaryota, Metazoa, Chordata, Lepidosauria, Squamata, Phrynosomatidae.
CACUGUGUGGCACAGUGGUUUGAGUGCUGGACUGUGACUCAGGAGACGUGGGUUCAAUUCCCUGCUGGGUGA